Regulatory RNA element from Marinilactibacillus sp. 15R, 137 nucleotides. It matches the Rfam family "Ribosomal protein L10 leader". From Rfam's summary of the family: This family is a putative r-protein leader autoregulatory structure found in B. subtilis and other low-GC Gram-positive bacteria. The record is from Rfam. NCBI's taxonomy places the organism in Bacteria, Bacillati, Bacillota, Bacilli, Lactobacillales, Carnobacteriaceae.
AGAAAUUACUAGAUUAUACCGAAGACAGUAUGUGGCGUAAGCCUUAAUAAUCAUACCGAGGAUAAUUGUGAUGUAUGUAUACAUUAAACACACAAUCCCUCAUUGUCUACGGAGACAUGGGGUUUUUUUAUUGCCCU